This 253-nucleotide ribosomal RNA is filed under the name uncultured bacterium. RNAcentral describes it as "partial 16S ribosomal RNA". It matches the Rfam family "Bacterial small subunit ribosomal RNA", at positions 524 to 776 of the family's 1533-position model. The record is from RNAcentral.
UACGAAGGGAGCUAGCGUUGUUCGGAAUUACUGGGCGUAAAGCGCACGUAGGCGGCUUUUUAAGUCAGGGGUGAAAUCCCGGGGCUCAACCUCGGAACUGCCCUUGAAACUGGGAAGCUAGAAUCUUGGAGAGGCGAGUUGAAUUCCGAGUGUAGAGGUGAAAUUGGCAGAUAUUCGGAAGAACACCAGUGGCGAAGGCGACUCGCUGGACAAGUAUUGACGCUGAGGUGCGAAAGCGUGGGGAGCAAACAGG